RNAcentral lists this long non-coding RNA (390 nucleotides) under Homo sapiens (human). RNAcentral describes it as "non-protein coding lnc-MAP10-8:1". The record is from RNAcentral. Lineage: Eukaryota; Metazoa; Chordata; Mammalia; Primates; Hominidae.
UUGCAGUGAGCCGGGAUCAUGCCACUGCACGCCAGCCUGGGUGACAGAGUGAGACUCCGUCUCAAAAAAAAAAAAAAAAAAACAGAUUUAUGGAGAUCCUCUGAUGUUCCAGACCAUACUAGGUGAUAAAGAAAAACUGUCAGAACACUGACAGGAAAAUGCUUAUGAUAUUUAAAUCCUAUAAGGGGACAGAUUUUUGUUUUUAAAAAAUUAAGAGUUAUAAGGGAGAAAUAGAGAUACAUUUGAAAUGCUCUAUCAAGACUAUGUAGUUUCUGCUUUCCAGGUCCCAGGUGGAUUAGCAAGGCCACAUUUCCUCGUUCUAACAUCUGGUUGUCUGCGAAAUAGCUGCACUUGAGAUUUCCUGGGGAGAGACCUAAGUGGGAAGGCAAU